This 776-nucleotide ribosomal RNA is filed under the name uncultured Neocallimastigales. RNAcentral's name for it is "partial large subunit ribosomal RNA". It matches the Rfam family "Eukaryotic large subunit ribosomal RNA", at positions 22 to 615 of the family's 3401-position model. The record is from RNAcentral. Lineage: Eukaryota; Fungi; Neocallimastigomycota; Neocallimastigomycetes; Neocallimastigales.
AUAUCAGUCAUGCAUAGCAUAUCAAUAAGCGGAGGAAAAGAAACUAACAAGGAUUCCCUUAGUAACGGCGAGUGAAGCGGGAAGAGCUCAAAUUUGAAAUCUUCAAGGUUUUACCUUGACGAAUUGUAGUUUAAAGAAGUGUUUUCUGUUGAAGUUUUGGUAAAAGUUCUUUGGAAUAGGACAUCAUAGAGGGUGAGAAUCCCGUAUUUGACCAUUACUUUCAGCUUUGUGAUACACUUUCAAAGAGUCGGAUUGUUUGGGAAUGCAGUCCAAAAUGGGUGGUAAAUUUCAUCUAAAGCUAAAUAUUGGCGAGAGACCGAUAGCGAACAAGUACCGUGAGGGAAAGAUGAAAAGAACUUUGAAAAGAGAGUUAAACAGUACGUGAAAUUGUCAAAAGGGAAGCGUUUGACACCAGUGUUGUUUUCUCGAAAAUCAAUUAAAAAGAGUUGGAUUUUGUGUUGUAUUGACUUUAUCAGGCUUUCUUCACUCUCUUUCCAGCUUUUUUUAAUGCACUUUUCGUUUGAACAAGUCAACAUCAGUUUCUUUUGUUGUAAAAAGGUCAUUGGAAGGUGGCUUUCUCUUCGGAGAAAGUGUUUAUAGCCUUUGACUCAUGCAAUCGGAGAGACUGAGGUCUGCAGCGUAGAUCCUUCGGGGUUAGAUACAUUUGUGCUAAGUUAUAGCUUUUCAUAGACAACUUGUUGACUAUGUUUAGUCUUGUAGCUUACUCGCUUAUGCUAUUUUACCUACGCUUAGGAUGUUGAACUCUAUCACACACA